GGAAUUUUCCGCAAUGGGCGAAAGCCUGACGGAGCAACGCCGCGUGAGGGAAGAAGGUCUUUGGAUUGUAAACCUCUUUUCUCAGGGAAGAAGUCAGUGACGGUACCUGAGGAAUCAGCAUCGGCUAACUCCG
Molecule: ribosomal RNA, 133 nt
Filed under: uncultured bacterium
Lineage: Bacteria
Description: partial 16S ribosomal RNA
Rfam family: Bacterial small subunit ribosomal RNA
Source: RNAcentral